Molecule: ribosomal RNA, 587 nt
Filed under: Diaporthe sp. CBMAI1356
Lineage: Eukaryota; Fungi; Ascomycota; Sordariomycetes; Diaporthales; Diaporthaceae
Description: eukaryotic LSU rRNA
Rfam family: Eukaryotic large subunit ribosomal RNA
Source: RNAcentral
AUAUCAAUAAGCGGAGGAAAAGAAACCAACAGGGAUUGCCCUAGUAACGGCGAGUGAAGCGGCAACAGCUCAAAUUUGAAAUCUGGCCUCGGCCCGAGUUGUAAUUUGCAGAGGAUGCUUCUGGCGCGGUGCCUUCCGAGUUCCCUGGAACGGGACGCCAAAGAGGGUGAGAGCCCCGUAUGGUCGGACACCAAGCCUGUGUGAAGCUCCUUCGACGAGUCGAGUAGUUUGGGAAUGCUGCUCUAAAUGGGAGGUAAAUCUCUUCUAAAGCUAAAUACCGGCCAGAGACCGAUAGCGCACAAGUAGAGUGAUCGAAAGAUGAAAAGCACCUUGAAAAGGGGGUUAAAUAGUACGUGAAAUUGUUGAAAGGGAAGCACUUAUGACCAGACUUGGGCCGGGCGGCUCAUCAGGGGUUCUCCCCUGUGCACUCCGCCCGGCACAGGCCAGCAUCGGUUCUCGCGGGGGGAUAAGACCGUCGGGAACGUAGCACCCUCCGGGGUGUGUUAUAGCCCGGCGGACGAUACCCUCGAGGGGACCGAGGUUCGCGCUCCGCAAGGAUGCUGGCGUAAUGGUCAUCAGUGACCCGU